AACUUCUCAAAAGAAGUCGGCAACGAAUAACAGCUUGUCGGAGAAGAAGGAAUAGACCGUAAAUUUAACGAGUUCAGUCUCCCCAAAGACUCCUUCUUUACAUCCAAACUCAAAGCCGGUUUCGAUGGCUGUGACUUCGAUCUGAUUUCAAGCCUGAAGAAGAAUUAUUAUUCAGAAAUCCCAAUGAGUGUCUAGCAACAAUAUCUUCAGGGCUUCCCACACAGGGGUGGCGCCCUGGGACGGGCCUAACCCCACGCAGAAUCGGGACCGGUGAGGCUGCUUCGAGGCGCUCAAUAUGAAUAAACUGACCCAAUUGGAUCUUAUCACUAAGAAUCAGAUCAUCAUGUUCAUCAGGGAGAGAUACAUAGGUGGCAUGAGAGGAAUCAGAGACCUUGAGAUAGAAGCCUUGGUUUGGGAAUAACUCACCGCCGGCAAGCGCUGGAACAAUGCUCACAACUUGUAACAGUGAUGACCUGUGCUCUCCAGCAACCUUUAUGUCUGUGUUCAUGUGCUGCAGAAGCUUGAGGAGGACACCAGGAACAAGAUUGGCCAUGUUUGUUGGGGCCUUCAGUUUACAUUACACUGAAAACCCUGAUGUAGAAAUAUAGAAGACUUUAGAUGUGAACACGAAUAUCUUGCAGAAACUUUUAUAAGCUUGACAUCUUAAAUAUUUCUCACAACACGUUUUCCUCAA
Long non-coding RNA from Carya illinoinensis, 694 nucleotides. RefSeq lists it as uncharacterized. NCBI's taxonomy places the organism in Eukaryota, Viridiplantae, Streptophyta, Magnoliopsida, Fagales, Juglandaceae. The transcript has 2 exons. The record is from RefSeq and is a predicted model, not a curated record.